AUAUCAAUAAGCGGAGGAAAAGAAACUAACAAGGAUUCCCCUAGUAACGGCGAGUGAAGCGGGAAAAGCUCAAAUUUUAAAUCUGAUGGUCUCCGGCCGUCCGAGUUGUAAUCUAGAGAAGUGUUAUCUGUGUCGGACCGCAUGUAAGUCUCCUGGAACGGAGCGUCAUAGAGGGUGAGAAUCCCGUCUGUAAUGCGGACUACCGGUGCUCUACGAUGCGCUCUCAAAGAGUCGAGUUGUUUGGGAAUGCAGCUCAAAACGGGAGGUAAAUUCCUUCUAAAGCUAAAUAUUGGCGAGAGACCGAUAGCGAACAAGUACCGUGAGGGAAAGAUGAAAAGCACUUUGGAAAGAGAGUCAAACAGUACGUGAAAUUGUUGAAAGGGAAACGCUUGAAGUCAGUCGCGUCUUCUGGGAUUCAGCCUUGCUUCUGCUUGGUGCAUUUCCUGGUUGACGGGUCAACAUCGAUUUCGACCGUCGGAUAAGGGUUUGAGGAAUGUGGCAUCUUCGGGUGUGUUAUAGCCUCUUAUCGCAUACGUCGGCUGGGAUCGAGGAACUCAGCAUGCCAUUAUGGUCGGGGUUCGCCCACGUAACAUGCUUAGGAUGUUGGCAUAAUGGCUUUAAGCGACCCGUCUUGAAACACGGACCAAGGAGUCUAACAUGUCUGCGAGUGUUUGGGUGGAAAACCCGAGCGCGUAAUGAAAGUAAAAAGUUGGGACCCUCACGGGGCACCGACGCCCGAGCUGGACCUUUUGUGAAGGCUUUGAGGUAGAGCAUAUAUGUUGGGACCCGAAAGAUGGUGACUAUGGCUGAUAGGCGAGCAGAGAAACUCUGUGAGCUCGUAGCGAUCUGACUGCCAUCGAUCGUCAACUUGGUAUAGGGGGCGCAGGAC
RNAcentral lists this ribosomal RNA (889 nucleotides) under Antrodia sp. AT4-1OL. RNAcentral describes it as "eukaryotic LSU rRNA". It matches the Rfam family "Eukaryotic large subunit ribosomal RNA", at positions 40 to 931 of the family's 3401-position model. The record is from RNAcentral. Lineage: Eukaryota; Fungi; Basidiomycota; Agaricomycetes; Polyporales; Fomitopsidaceae.